This 406-nucleotide ribosomal RNA is filed under the name uncultured bacterium. Its description in RNAcentral is "bacterial SSU rRNA". It matches the Rfam family "Bacterial small subunit ribosomal RNA", at positions 356 to 774 of the family's 1533-position model. The record is from RNAcentral.
GGGGAAUAUUGCACAAUGGGCGCAAGCCUGAUGCAGCAACGCCGCGUGAGGGACGACGGCCCUCGGGUUGUAAACCUCUUUUGGCAGGGAAGAAGCGAAAGUGACGGUACCUGCAGAAAAAGCACCGGCUAACUACGUGCCAGCAGCCGCGGUGAUACGUAGGGUGCAAGCGUUGUCCGGAAUUAUUGGGCGUAAAGAGCUCGUAGGCGGUUUGUCGCGUCUGCUGUGAAAACCCGAGGCUCAACCUCGGGCCUGCAGUGGGUACGGGCAAACUAGAGUGCGGUAGGGGAGAUUGGAAUUCCUGGUGUGGCGGUGGAAUGCGCAGAUAUCAGGAGGAACACCGAUGGCGAAGGCAGAUCUCUGGGCCGUAACUGACGCUGAGGAGCGAAAGCAUGGGGAGCGAACA